GCUGAAUUCAGUGCUAUUACAAGUAGUGACAAUAGAAAAGCAUCAUCGGCAGAGUGUCUGCCUCCAGGUGGGAAAACACCACAUGAUCUAUGACAUCUCUUCUGUUUCUGUAAGCCAAUACCAAAGACUAAAGGCUAUGCCAUGGAUUUACGUGCAGUUACACGAUGAUUCAUUCUAAGGUAAGUCAGCUGUCAAUCUGAGAAGACACACAAGCAACUUCCAAGAGAUGUUCAUGUGGCAAGGGAUUAAGGAUUUCUCCCAACAGUCAAGUGAAUGCAGCAUCUUAGAAGGACAACUUCCAGCCCCAGUCAAACCUUCAGAAGAUGAUACCCUAGCUGCCAACUUAACUGCACCCUCAUGAGAGACCUUAAGCUAGAACCAACCAGCUAAACUGCUCUUACAUCUUCAUCCAAAGAAACUGGGGUGAGAGACAAGAGGUGUUCUCCAUGUAGCUGGCUGUGUAUAUGGCUGCUCUGUAAACCGGCAAUCCACUCAGCACACAAGACAAUGUGAAAAGAAGCAUAUGGAGUUUCUGGUCCAGGGAUCAGAUCCAAGGCACAGUUGGAAGCUUAGCCAAAACUGCAGCAAUGCUAGAUCCCUAACCCACUGUGCCAAGCUGGGGAUGGAACCUGCAUCCCAGUGCUCCCAAGAUGCUGCAGAUCCUGUUGCACCACAGCAGGAGCUCUGAUAACUGUUUACUGAAUGAAUGAUACCUUUAAGAAACAGUCUUGAUUGAGACAUCAAACUAGGAAACUGUGGAUACCAAGGAGCAGAAUGAGGGUUACUGCAGAUAAGUAAAAAGAGCCUCAAAUGACAAGAUUUCAUCUCUUUUGUGCCUGAGUGCUGUUUCAUCAUACACUGUUUCUUCUUUAUCCAUUCAUACAUAUCGCCCCUAAUGUAAAUAAUGGUGUGACGAACAUAGGGAUGCAUGUAUCUUUUCAAAUUAUGUUUUCAUAUUCUUUGGAUAAACACCCAGAAGAGGAACAGCUGGAUUAUAUGACAGUUUCAUUCUUAAUUAUGUGAGGAACGUACAUACUAUUAUCCAUAGUGGCUGUGCGAGAAUUUACAUUCCCACCAACAAUAUAUGGGAAUUCCCUUUUUUUCACAUCCUUUUCAACGUUUUAUUUUUUUGCCUUGUUGAUAACAGGCAUGCUAACAGGCAAGGCGUGAUAUCCCAUUAUAGUUUUUAUGUGCACUUCCCUUAGGAAUGUGGAGCAUCUUUCAUGUGCCUAUUGGCCACCUGUAUGUUUCUGUAUGUCUUCUUUGGAAAAAUAGCUAUUCAGAUCCUCUGCCCAUUUUAAAAUCAUGUUGUUUGAUUUUUUUAUUAUUGUGCUGUAUUUAUUAUUGAGUUUUAUUAUUUAUAUAUGUUGGAUAUUAACUUCAUAUCAGGUACAAGAUUUGCAAAAUCUUCUCCCAUUUAGUAGGUGGUCUUUUCAUUGCGUUGAUGGUUUCCUUUGCUGUGCAAAAGCUUUUUAGUUUGAUGCAGUCCCGCUUAUUUUUUCUUUUUCAUCCCUUGCCCAGGGUAACAUAUCUAGAAAGAUAAUUCUAAAACUGAUGCUGGAGAGUGCAUUGCCUAUGUUUUCUUCUAGGAGGUUAUUAUGGUUAUAGAUUUUACAAUCAAGUCUAAUCUAUUCUGACUUGAUUUUUCAGGAUAGUGUAAAAUAGUGGUCUAGUUUCAUUCUUUUUGCAUGUGGUUGUCUAAUUUCCUCAACACCAUUUCUUUAGGAGACUAUAUUUUCUCCAUUGUAUGUUCUUUGAUCUUUUGCAUAAAUUAAUUGUCCAUAUAAAUGUGAUUUUAUUUCUGGGCUCUCAAUUCUGUUCCAUUGAUCUCCGUGUUUUUUCUUGCUGCUAACAUGAUGUUUUGACUACUAUAGAUUGGUAUUACAAUUUGAAAUCAGGGAGUGUGGUACCUUCAGAUUUGUUCUUUUUUCUCCAGAUUGUUUUGGCUAUUUGUGGUCUUUUCUGGUUCCAUAUAAAUUUUAGGAUUUUUUUGUUCUACCUCUGUAAAAAGUGACAUUUGGAUUUUGAUAAGGGUUGCACUUAAUCUGUAGAUUGCUUUAGAUAACAUUAACAUUUUAACAAUGUUAAUUCUUCCAAUCCCCAAGAAUGAAAUAUCUAUUUUAUUUGUGUCUUCUUUAAUUUCUUUCAAGAAUAUCUUAUAGUUUUCAGUGUACAGGUCUUUUGCUGUCUUGGUUAUUUAUUCCUAGGUAUUUUAUUCUUUUAGUUGUAAUUGUAAAUGAGAUUUUUUCUUAAUAUCUCUUUCUGCUAGCCCAUUGUUAGUGUAAGGAAACACAACUAAUUUUUGUAUGUUGUUUUUCACCCUGCAAAUGUACUGUAUUCAUUUAUUAUUUCUAAUAAUUUUUGGUGGAGUUUUUUGGGGGGUUUAUAUGUAAAAUUAUUUUACGCACAAAUGGUGACAGCUUUCUUCCCUUCAAUUUGUAUUUUUAAUUUUUUUUUUCCUAAUUGCUCUGGCUAGGAUUUCCACUAUUAUAUUAAAUAACAGUGGUGAGAGUAUGCAUCCUUCCUUAUCCCUGAUCACAGAUGGAUAGCUUUGUUUUCCACAGACUGAGGAUAAUGUUAGACUUGGAUUUGCCAUGUAUGACCUUUAUUAUGUUGAGGUAGAUUCCUUUUUUACCUAUUUUGUUGAGAUUUUUUAUUAUAAAUGGAUAUCGAAUCUUGUUAAAUGCUUUCUCUGCAUCUAUUGAAACAAUCACAUAAUUUUUAUCUUUCAUGUUGUUAAUGUAGUAUAUUACAUUGCUGUUAGAUUAUGUAAUUGUGGUGUAUUACAUUGAUUGAUUUGUGGAUGUUGUACCAUCCUUACCUCCAUUUGGACAACAUAGAUGGAACUUGAGGGCAUUAUACGAAGUGAAAUGAAUCAGAGGGAGAAAGAUAUAUACUGUAUGAUUUCACUCAUACAUUAAAUAUUUUUUAAAAGUAAAAUCAAAUUAGUGAACAAGCCGAACCAAACAAAAAUAAACAUGUAGACAGAGAAUAGAGUAGUGGUUACUAGGGGAAGAGAGGUAGGGGAAAAAAAAUGGGUAAAGGAAAUCAACUGUAUGGUGAGGAGUGGAAACUGCAGUAUAUAUAGAAGUCAAAAAUAUAAUGUUGUACACAUGAAACUUACAUAAUGUUAUAAAGUUACUUCAAUUUUUAAAAUGCAAGAGGCAUAUAUUAAAAGGGAAAAAAAAUGUUAGGAAGUCAUUACCCUAAAAGUCAAGAUAGUGGUUAUUCGAGGGAGGAGGAAGGGGAUUAUGACCAGGAAAUCAAAAGGCAAAAAUUUUACUUCUUUACCUGGUACAGAUUGGAAGGGUGUCUACUGUAUAAUAAUUCAUUAAGUCAGGCAUUUGAUUGUAUGUCUUUUUGUAUCUCAUUGCUUAUCCAUUCCAAACACAAUAAUUUGCAUCUAUUUACCCCAAAUUCCAAGUCCAUCCCACUCCCUCCCCCUCGCCCUUGGCAACCAAUGAACCACAAGUCUUUUCUCCUUGUCCAUGAUUUUCUUUUCUGUGGAAAGCUUCAUUUGUGCCAUAUAUUAAAUUCCAGCUAUAGUGAUAUCACAUGGUAUUUGAAUCUCUCUUUCUGACUUACUUCACUUAGUAUGAGAGUCUCUAGUUCCACACAUGUUGCUGCAAAUGCCAUUAUUUCUAUUUAAUCAUGUUUUUAGUUGAAGUUAUCUGCACAUGAUACAAAGUUCAGAAUGAAUAAAAGGGUAGUAUUCCAUUGUGAUAUAUACCACAAUAUACCAUCUGUUGAUGGAAAUUUAUGUUGUUUCCACGUCUUGGCUAUUGUGAAUAGUGUUGCAAUGAACAUAGUGGUGCAUGUAUCUUUUUCAAUGAAAGUUUUGUCCAGAUAUAUGCCCAAGAGGGGGAUUGCUGGGUCAUAUGGUAGUUCUAUAUGCAGUUUUCUGAGGUGCCUCCAUACUAUUUCCUAUAGUGGCUGAACCAAUUUACAUUCCCAUCAACAGUAUAGGAGGGUACCCUUUUUUCAGUACCCUCUCAAGCAUUUCUUAUUUGUUGACUUAUGGCAUUCUGAUAGGAGUGAGGUGGUAUAUAAGUAUAUAUGUGUAUAUCAUUUAUAUAUCAUUUGUAAUUUAUAUACAUGUAGCAUAUCAUAUCAUACCAUUUGUGUCAUCUAUAUCUUUCUCCCUUGUCACUCCCUACUCCAGCCCCUGGCCCUCCUUGCCUUGUUUGCUCUGUUUUAUUUUUCUCCAUACACUUAAUACCACCUGACACAUUGACUAUUUAUUUGAUUAUUUAUUCAUUAUAUAUCUUCUUUCACAGACAUAUAAAAUAUUCUGUGUCAAAAUUUAAUCUUUUUUCUUCUAGGUAAAUGAUUGUUGAUGAAAUGGUAUUAAGAUAUAUAAGGAAAUUGCAGAUAUGAAGUUUCUAGUCUUUAUAGUUGAAGCAGAAAUAACUCAUUACAAACAGAAUCAGAAGGGUAAAAAGAUUACAAUGAUGGGGAUGAUGAUAGUGACAACAUUUAUUUGCUCAUCUUUUACUCAGCAUUGUCAUUAAGUGUUUGCAAAGCUUCAUUUAAUUCUCCCUCAACCAUAACAUGAAGAUCCUAUUAUUAUCUCAAUUUUAUAGAUAAGGAAACUGAAACUUUAAAGAGUUAGAUAACUUGCCUGAAGAUGCACAGCUGGUAAAUGUAGUAGCUAUGAUUUUUAUCCCAUAUCUGUCUCCAGAGUUGAUAUUGCUAUUAGUCUAACAUUGUCAGGUUAAAGACAUUGCUAUGCUAGGGUCUGCCAAAACAAAAUACAAUACCAAAGAAAGACUGCCUAAA
RNAcentral lists this long non-coding RNA (4779 nucleotides) under Sus scrofa (pig). Its description in RNAcentral is "lncRNA (ENSSSCG00040035040.1)". The record is from RNAcentral. Lineage: Eukaryota; Metazoa; Chordata; Mammalia; Artiodactyla; Suidae.